UGAGUAACACGUAUCCAACCUGCCGUCUACUCUUGGACAGCCUUCUGAAAGGAAGAUUAAUACAAGAUGGCAUCAUGAGUCCACAUGUUCACAUGAUUAAAGGUAUUCCGGUAGACGAUGGGGAUGCGUUCCAUUAGAUAGUAGGCGGGGUAACGGCCUACCUAGUCUUCGAUGGAUAGGGGUUCUGAGAGGAAGGUCCCCCACAUUGGAACUGAGACACGGUCCAA
RNAcentral lists this ribosomal RNA (227 nucleotides) under uncultured bacterium. RNAcentral's name for it is "partial 16S ribosomal RNA". It matches the Rfam family "Bacterial small subunit ribosomal RNA", at positions 107 to 334 of the family's 1533-position model. The record is from RNAcentral.